This 253-nucleotide ribosomal RNA is filed under the name uncultured bacterium. RNAcentral's name for it is "partial 16S ribosomal RNA". It matches the Rfam family "Bacterial small subunit ribosomal RNA", at positions 524 to 776 of the family's 1533-position model. The record is from RNAcentral.
UACGGAGGGGGCUAGCGUUGUUCGGAAUUACUGGGCGUAAAGCGCACGUAGGCGGCUUUGCAAGUUAGAGGUGAAAGCCCGAGGCUCAACUCCGGAAUUGCCUUUAAAACUGCAUCGCUAGAGUUGUGGAGAGGUAAGUGGAAUUCCGAGUGUAGAGGUGAAAUUCGUAGAUAUUCGGAAGAACACCAGUGGCGAAGGCGACUUACUGGACACAAACUGACGCUGAGGUGCGAAAGCGUGGGGAGCAAACAGG